Molecule: ribosomal RNA, 490 nt
Filed under: uncultured bacterium
Lineage: Bacteria
Description: partial 16S ribosomal RNA
Rfam family: Bacterial small subunit ribosomal RNA
Source: RNAcentral
AUUGAACGCUGGCGGCAGGCCUAACACAUGCAAGUCGAACGGUAACAGGAAACAGCUUGCUGUUUCGCUGACGAGUGGCGGACGGGUGAGGAAUGUCUGGGAAACUGCCUGAUGGCGGGGGAUAACUACUGGAAACGGUAGCUAAUACCGCAUAACGUCGCAAGACCAAAGAGGGGGAACCUCGGGCCUCUUGCCAUCGGAUGUGCCCAGAUGGGAUUAGCUUGUUGGUGGGGUAACGGCUCACCAAGGCGACGAUCCCUAGCUGGUCUGAGAGGAUGACCAGCCACACUGGAACGGAGACACGGUACAGACUCCUACGGGAGGCAGCAGUGGGGAAUAUUGCACAAGGGGCUCAAGCCUGAUGCAGCCAUGCCGCGUGUAUGAAGAAGGCCUUCGGGUUGGAAAGUACUUUCAGCGGGGAGGAAGGGAGUAAAGUUAAUACCUUUGCUCAUUGACGUUACCCGCAGAAGAAGCACCGGCUAACUCCGUG